This 69-nucleotide transfer RNA is filed under the name Rhina ancylostomus. RNAcentral's name for it is "tRNA-Phe". It matches the Rfam family "tRNA". Rfam says of the family: Transfer RNA (tRNA) molecules are approximately 80 nucleotides in length. Their secondary structure includes four short double-helical elements and three loops (D, anti-codon, and T loops). Lineage: Eukaryota; Metazoa; Chordata; Chondrichthyes; Rhinopristiformes; Rhinidae. The record is from RNAcentral.
GCUAGUGUAGCUUAACGCAAAGCAUGGCACUGAAGAUGCUAAGAUAAAAGUUAAAAUUUUUCACAAGCA